GAACGCUGGCGGCAUGCCUAACACAUGCAAGUCGAACGAGACCUUCGGGUCUAGUGGCGCACGGGUGCGUAACGCGUGGGAAUCUGCCCUUGGGUUCGGAAUAACAGCUAGAAAUGGCUGCUAAUACCGGAUGAUGACGUAAGUCCAAAGAUUUAUCGCCCAAGGAUGAGCCCGCGUAGGAUUAGCUAGUUGGUGAGGUAAAGGCUCACCAAGGCGACGAUCCUUAGCUGGUCUGAGAGGAUGAUCAGCCACACUGGGACUGAGACACGGCCCAGACUCCUACGGGAGGCAGCAGUGGGGAAUAUUGGACAAUGGGCGAAAGCCUGAUCCAGCAAUGCCGCGUGAGUGAUGAAGGCCUUAGGGUUGUAAAGCUCUUUUACCCGGGAUGAUAAUGACAGUACCGGGAGAAUAAGCUCCGGCUAACUCCGUGCCAGCAGCCGCGGUAAUACGGAGGGAGCUAGCGUUAUUCGGAAUUACUGGGCGUAAAGCGCACGUAGGCGGCUUUGUAAGUUAGAGGUGAAAGCCUGGAGCUCAACUCCAGAAUUGCCUUUAAGACUGCAUCGCUUGAAUCCAGGAGAGGUGAGUGGAAUUCCGAGUGUAGAGGUGAAAUUCGUAGAUAUUCGGAAGAACACCAGUGGCGAAGGCGGCUCACUGGACUGGUAUGAC
RNAcentral lists this ribosomal RNA (666 nucleotides) under Sphingomonas sp. P3689. RNAcentral's name for it is "bacterial SSU rRNA". It matches the Rfam family "Bacterial small subunit ribosomal RNA", at positions 31 to 744 of the family's 1533-position model. Lineage: Bacteria; Pseudomonadati; Pseudomonadota; Alphaproteobacteria; Sphingomonadales; Sphingomonadaceae. The record is from RNAcentral.